UACGAAGGUGGCAAGCGUUUUUCGGAUUUACUGGGCGUACAGGGAGCGUAGGCGGUUGGGUAAGCCCUCCGUGAAAUCUCCGGGCCCAACCCGGAAAGUGCGGAGGGGACUGCUCGGCUAGAGGAUGGGAGAGGAGCGCGGAAUUCCCGGUGUAGCGGUGAAAUGCGUAGAGAUCGGGAGGAAGGCCGGUGGCGAAGGCGGCGCUCUGGAACAUUUCUGACGCUGAGGCUCGAAAGCGUGGGGAGCAAACAGG
Molecule: ribosomal RNA, 253 nt
Filed under: uncultured bacterium
Lineage: Bacteria
Description: partial 16S ribosomal RNA
Rfam family: Bacterial small subunit ribosomal RNA
Source: RNAcentral